CAGUAGCCGCGGGAAUACGGAGGGGGCAAGCGUUAUCCGGAAUUAUUGGGCGUAAAGGGUACGUAGGUGGCCUUUUAAGCGUAGGGUAUAAGGCAAUGGCUCAACCAUUGUUCGCCCUAUGAACUGGAAGGCUUGAGUGCAGGAGAGGAAAGCGGAAUUCCUAGUGUAGCGGUGGAAUGCAUAGAUAUUAGGAGGAACAUCAGCGGCGAAGGCGGCUUUCUGGACUGCAACUGACACUGAGGUACGAAAGCGUGGGGGGCAAACAGGAUUAGAUACCCCAGUAGUCCCUGUCUCUUAUACC
This 301-nucleotide ribosomal RNA is filed under the name uncultured bacterium. Its description in RNAcentral is "partial 16S ribosomal RNA". It matches the Rfam family "Bacterial small subunit ribosomal RNA", at positions 509 to 808 of the family's 1533-position model. The record is from RNAcentral.